Molecule: ribosomal RNA, 799 nt
Filed under: uncultured Nitrospira sp.
Lineage: Bacteria; Pseudomonadati; Nitrospirota; Nitrospiria; Nitrospirales; Nitrospiraceae
Description: bacterial SSU rRNA
Rfam family: Bacterial small subunit ribosomal RNA
Source: RNAcentral
UGUGUAGCAAUACACAUGUACAGUGGCGAACGGGUGAGGACUACAUGGGUAACCUACCCUCGAGUGGGGAAUAACUAGCCGAAAGGUUAGCUAAUACCGCGUACGCUUCCAAGACUGCGGUUUUGGAAGGAAAGCGAUACCGUGGGUAUCGCGCUCUUGGAUGGGCUCAUGCCCUAUCAGUUUGUUGGUGAGGUAACGGCUCACCAAGGCUUCGACGGGUAGCUGAUCUGAGAGGAUGAUCAGCCACACUGGCACUGCGACACGGGCCAGACUCCUACGGGAGGCAGCAGUAAGGAAUAUUGCGCAAUGGGCGAAAGCCUGACGCAGCGACGCCGCGUGGGGGAUGAAGGUCUUCGGAUUGUAAACCCCUUUCGGGAGGGAAGAUGGGAUGGGGUAACCCAUUCGGACGGUACCUCCAGAAGCAGCCACGGCUAACUUCGUGCCAGCAGCCGCGGUAAUACGAAGGUGGCAAGCGUUGUUCGGAUUUACUGGGCGUACAGGGAGCGUAGGCGGUUGGAUAAGCCCUCCGUGAAAUCUCCAGGCUUAACCUGGAAAGUGCAGAGGGGACUGUUCAGCUAGAGGAUGGGAGAGGAGCGCGGAAUUCCCGGUGUAGCGGUGAAAUGCGUAGAGAUCGGGAGGAAGGCCGGUGGCGAAGGCGGCGCUCUGGAACAUUUCUGACGCUGAGGCUCGAAAGCGUGGGGAGCAAACAGGAUUAGAUACCCUGGUAGUCCACGCCUUAAACGAUGGAUACUAAGUGUCGGCGGGUUACCGCCGGUGCCGCAGCUAACGCAGUAAGUAU